Molecule: long non-coding RNA, 421 nt
Organism: Prionailurus viverrinus (fishing cat)
Lineage: Eukaryota; Metazoa; Chordata; Mammalia; Carnivora; Felidae
Exons: 4
Source: RefSeq, a predicted model, not a curated record
GCCCCGUGAAAGUCUAGUGGCGGUCUCCGUGCCCAAGACCUCCAGGCGUAUACCUGGAGAGGUAGAGUGGAUCUGCAGAGACUGGGUAUGAGGAUUUCUGGCAUGUGACUCAAUCCUCACUGCUCCUACCUCCCUAUUCUGCCCUCUUGGAAUCUGCUGGCCCUGAGAGAUCUGUGAAGAGAGGAGAAAAUGGCCCCUAGGUUCCUGGCAGCGAGACCCCAGUCGGAAUUUUGGGCAAAUCUUGUAGAGAUUGAAGAGGUAAAGAGAUAUUGGAAGAUAUUCUGGAGUAGGGUGUGAAGAUUCAAGAGUAGUCUUCGAAUACGUGCACCAUGAUAGGUCGUGGAGGUGUUUUGUGGGUGGGGCUUUGGAAGGUUCAGUUAUCAGGAAAUUGUAGAUACUAAGGAAAUCAAGAAAGAGAAGA